This 531-nucleotide ribosomal RNA is filed under the name Triticum aestivum (bread wheat). RNAcentral describes it as "partial small subunit ribosomal RNA". The record is from RNAcentral. Lineage: Eukaryota; Viridiplantae; Streptophyta; Magnoliopsida; Poales; Poaceae.
AUGAUCAGGAUCAGCAGGAGCAGGCAAGGGAAGGGGGCCUUUGAUAAAAGGAAGGAACCCCCAGUCAAGAAAUAUGUUGCCCCGGCGCAACAGUCCAGCUCGUAUGGCACCAGGAAGAAGAAAAAGGCCGCCGCUCUUUCGCUCGCCGAGUGUUGCACAGGAAAGAAAAUAUUCAACUACACCAGAAGGUUACAUCGAAGUGGUGAAGAUCGAGUCGAUUUAUUCAAAGGGAUAAUCACAGCACAACAUUGGAGUACACGCAACGCAACAUGCGGCCGUGUACAUAUCGGUCACAGCUUAAUUACACUCAUCACACAAGGUACAUCCAUCUGCUCUCUCCGAGCUAAUACAAUGUAUGGCGGCUCAUCUCAAUCACCACUCACGCCCUGUGACGCUUCUGCCCAGGUGCGCAACGCAGGUACACCUCCUCUGUUCUCCAGUCUCGAAAUGUCGUUUCCGCCGAGAGCAGAGGGCCUUCUCAAGGGAGGAGGAGGGAAAAUAGGUUCAAUUCUUGCGGGGAUGCUACUCUAA